UUAAUUGAAGCCAAAAAGAGGCUUAUUAUUGUUAAUAAUAAAACUGAAAUUAUAUUUCCAAUUAAA
This 66-nucleotide transfer RNA is filed under the name Macrodiprion sp. 2 GYN-2022c. RNAcentral describes it as "tRNA-Asn". Lineage: Eukaryota; Metazoa; Arthropoda; Insecta; Hymenoptera; Diprionidae. The record is from RNAcentral.